Molecule: ribosomal RNA, 460 nt
Filed under: uncultured bacterium
Lineage: Bacteria
Description: partial 16S ribosomal RNA
Rfam family: Bacterial small subunit ribosomal RNA
Source: RNAcentral
CCUACGGGAGGCAGCAGUGAGGAAUAUUGGUCAAUGGACGAGAGUCUGAACCAGCCACGUAGCGUGAAGGAUGACUGCCCUAUGGGUUGUAAACUUCUUUUAUAUGGGAAUAAAAUGUUCCAAGUGUUGGAUUUUGUAUGUACCAUAUGAAUAAGGAUCGGCUAACUCCGUGCCAGCAGCCGCGGUAAUACGGAGGAUCCGAGCGUUAUCCGGAUUUAUUGGGUUUAAAGGGAGCGUAGGUGGAUAUUUAAGUCAGCUGUGAAAGUUUGCGGCUCAACCAUAAAAUUGCAGUUGAAACUGGCAGUCUUGAGUAUAGUAGAGGUAGGCGGAAUGCGUGGUGUAGCGGUGAAAUGCAUAGAUAUCACGAAGAACUCCGAUUGCGAAGGCAGCUCACUAAACUACAACUGACACUGAGGCACGAAAGUGUGGGGAUCAAACAGGAGUAGAUACCCGUGUAGUC